GACAUUUUGGUCUUUGUCCGCGGGUCAGUACGGCCCCUGGGUCCACGUGGCGCGAAAGUAGGAGGAAGACAUAGGCCAAGGAGCCAGACUUCCUGUGUUAACUCCUUCCUCUGCCACUUUUUACCUUGGGGACCUCAGAGAUGGGGUCUUGCCAUGUUGCCUAGGCUGGUCUUGAACUUCUGAGCUCAAGUGAUCCUGCCCACCUCAGCUUCCCAAAGUGCUGGGAUUAGUGGCAUGAGCCACUGCGUCCAGCCCACGUUAAUAUGAUCCUCUGUUGAAGCAAGAAGACAAACUGUAUGGUGGAGAAAGAAGUGGGAAGGAUCUGCGCGGAAGAAGCCUGAGAAGAUGAUGCACAGAUAGAGAGGCACCAGGACUUGAGAGGCACCAGGACUUGGGAGGCAUGUUGAUCCAUCUCCAGGAAAGACUGAGAAAAAGAGCGUUGAAUAUAAGAAAAAAUACUUCCUCUGUUCUCAGAUCGUAUUUGUUUUAAGGCCACACCUUUUUGAAGUUUUCAGUUUGAAACACAACCUGGACUGAAAUCAUGAGGGAGGUUGUGUAGGAAAGAAUCAUCAAGGGACUUAGUUGGGAGCUUCUCUACCACAGCUUACUCCUUAUGGUAUUAACCCCCUUUAAGUGUAAAUGUCUUUGGUUUAAAACGUUUGUACCUCAUCUGUUACCAGAGUGUUCAUACUGGAGAGAAACCCUAUGAAUUUACUGAAUGUGGGGGAACU
RNAcentral lists this long non-coding RNA (731 nucleotides) under Homo sapiens (human). RNAcentral describes it as "HSALNT0259086". The record is from RNAcentral. Lineage: Eukaryota; Metazoa; Chordata; Mammalia; Primates; Hominidae.